UGCAGUCGAGCGGGAAAGUUCCCUUCGGGGGACGAGUAUAGCGGCGGACGGGUGAGUAACACGUAGGUAACCUACCCUUUAGUCUGGGAUAACUCGCCGAAAGGCGGGCUAAUACCGGAUAAGACCACGAGGUUUGCGGAUCAUGUGGUAAAAGAUGGCCUCUUCUUGAAAGCUAUCACUAGGGGAUGGGCCUGCGCGCCAUUAGCUUGUUGGUGAGGUAACGGCUCACCAAGGCUGCGAUGGCUAGCUGGUCUGAGAGGAUGACCAGCCACACUGGGACUGAGACACGGCCCAGACUCCUACGGGAGGCAGCAGUGGGGAAUAUUGCGCAAUGGGGGAAACCCUGACGCAGCGACGCCGCGUGGGUGAUGAAGGCUUUCGGGUCGUAAAGCCCUGUCGGGAGGGACGAAACAUCCGUCGGUUAAUACCCGGCGGACCUGACGGUACCUCCAAAGGAAGCACCGGCUAACUCCGUGCCAGCAGCCGCGGUAAUACGGAGGGUGCAAGCGUUGUUCGGAAUUACUGGGCGUAAAGAGCGUGUAGGCGGUUUCUUAAGUCUGAUGUGAAAGCCCGGGGCUCACCCCCGGAAGUGCAUUGGAAACUGGGAAACUAGAGUACCGGAGAGGAAGGUGGAAUUCCUGGUGUAGCGGUGAAAUGCGUAGAUAUCAGGAAGAACACCGGUGGCGAAGGCGGCCUUCUGGACGGAUACUGACGCUGAGACGCGAAAGCGUGGGGAGCAA
Molecule: ribosomal RNA, 740 nt
Filed under: uncultured marine bacterium
Lineage: Bacteria
Description: bacterial SSU rRNA
Rfam family: Bacterial small subunit ribosomal RNA
Source: RNAcentral